RNAcentral lists this ribosomal RNA (209 nucleotides) under Klebsiella pneumoniae. RNAcentral describes it as "partial 16S ribosomal RNA". It matches the Rfam family "Bacterial small subunit ribosomal RNA", at positions 74 to 284 of the family's 1533-position model. Lineage: Bacteria; Pseudomonadati; Pseudomonadota; Gammaproteobacteria; Enterobacterales; Enterobacteriaceae. The record is from RNAcentral.
GAGAGCUUGCUCUCGGGUGACGAGCGGCGGACGGGUGAGUAAUGUCUGGGAAACUGCCUGAUGGAGGGGGAUAACUACUGGAAACGGUAGCUAAUACCGCAUAACGUCGCAAGACCAAAGUGGGGGACCUUCGGGCCUCAUGCCAUCAGAUGUGCCCAGAUGGGAUUAGCUAGUAGGUGGGGUAACGGCUCACCUAGGCGACGAUCCCU